Molecule: long non-coding RNA, 181 nt
Filed under: Ursus maritimus (polar bear)
Lineage: Eukaryota; Metazoa; Chordata; Mammalia; Carnivora; Ursidae
Description: lncRNA (ENSUMAG00000013518.1)
Source: RNAcentral
CCCUGCUCCAGCCUUACCCCGCGCCUCCAGCGGCUGGAGGAACAGUGAGGAGCUGAGCACAGGGAGAAGAGAAGAAAAUGAACAAAUUUGAAGGAAAACAAAAUAAAGAUCUCCUGUUUCUAACCACAUAUUCAGCAGAAAUGAGAAUUAAGAAGUCAAAUUGGAGCAGUGGACGGACCAC